This 256-nucleotide ribosomal RNA is filed under the name Klebsiella planticola. RNAcentral's name for it is "Raoultella planticola partial 16S ribosomal RNA". It matches the Rfam family "Bacterial small subunit ribosomal RNA", at positions 525 to 780 of the family's 1533-position model. Lineage: Bacteria; Pseudomonadati; Pseudomonadota; Gammaproteobacteria; Enterobacterales; Enterobacteriaceae. The record is from RNAcentral.
ACGGAGGGUGCAAGCGUUAAUCGGAAUUACUGGGCGUAAAGCGCACGCAGGCGGUUUGUUAAGUCAGAUGUGAAAUCCCCGGGCUCAACCUGGGAACUGCAUUUGAAACUGGCAAGCUUGAGUCUUGUAGAGGGGGGUAGAAUUCCAGGUGUAGCGGUGAAAUGCGUAGAGAUCUGGAGGAAUACCGGUGGCGAAGGCGGCCCCCUGGACAAAGACUGACGCUCAGGUGCGAAAGCGUGGGGAGCAAACAGGAUUA